Vicia faba (fava bean) is the source of this 219-nucleotide non-coding RNA. The record is from the annotation of a GenBank genome assembly. Lineage: Eukaryota; Viridiplantae; Streptophyta; Magnoliopsida; Fabales; Fabaceae.
AUGACUAAUGUGGUGGAAGUGAAAGUUGGUUUGCACUGUGACGACUGUAUUAAGAAAAUUCUUAAAGCCAUAAAAAAAAUUCAAGAUAUUGAAACGUAUAACGUGGACACAAAGCUGAACAAGGUUAUCGUUACCGGCGACGUCACAACAGAACAAGUUAUCAGAGUUCUUCACAAAAUUGGAAAGAAUGCAACUCCCUUUCAAGAUGAUGCAAUUUAG